UCCGUUUUGUCAACGGCAGUCUCCUUAGAGUGCUCGGCCGAACCGCUAGCAACUAAAGACGAGGGUUGCGCUCGUUGCGGGACUUAACCCAACAUCUCACGACACGAGCUGACGACAGCCAUGCACCACCUGUACACCGACAAAAGGGCACCCAUCUCUGGAUGUUUCCGGUGUAUGUCAAACCCAGGUAAGGUUCUUCGCGUUGCAUCGAAUUAAUCCGCAUGCUCCGCCGCUUGUGCGGGCCCCCGUCAAUUCCUUUGAGUUUCAGCCUUGCGGCCGUACUCCCCAGGCGGGGCACUUAAUGCGUUAGCGCCGGCACUCGGGGGGUCGCUCCCCCAAGCACCUAGUGCCCAUCGUUUACGGCGUGGACUAC
Molecule: unclassified non-coding RNA, 373 nt
Filed under: uncultured bacterium
Lineage: Bacteria
Description: contains 16S-23S intergenic spacer region
Source: RNAcentral